This 459-nucleotide ribosomal RNA is filed under the name uncultured bacterium. RNAcentral describes it as "partial 16S ribosomal RNA". It matches the Rfam family "Bacterial small subunit ribosomal RNA", at positions 338 to 795 of the family's 1533-position model. The record is from RNAcentral.
CCUACGGGAGGCUGCAGUGAGGCAUAUUGGUCAAUGGUCGCGAGCCUGAACCAGCCAAGUCGCGUUCGGGAAGACGGUCCUAUGGAUUGUAAACCUCUUUUGUCGGGGAGCAAAAGACGCCACGCGUGGCGUUCCGAGAGUACCCGAAGAAAAAGCAUCGGCUAACUCCGUGCCAGCAGCCGCGGUAAUACGGGGGAUGCUAGCGUUAUCCGGAUUUAUUGGGUUUAAAGGGUGCGCAGGCGGAAGAUAAAGUCAGGGGUAAAAUUUCGAGGCUUAACCCCGUCGAGCCGUUGAAACUGGUUUUCUUGAGUGAGCGAGAGGUAUGCGGAAUGCGUGGUGUAGCGGUGAAAUGCAUAGAUAUCACGCAGAACUCCGAUUGCGAAGGCAGCAUACCGGCGCUCAACUGACGCUCAUGCACGAAAGUGUGGGUAUCGAACAGGAUUAGAUACCCGGGUAGUC